CAGUCGCCACGGUAAUACAGAGGAUGCAAGCGUUAUCCGGAAUGAUUGGGCGUAAAGCGUCUGUAGGUGGCUUUUCAAGUCCGCCGUCAAAUCCCAGGGCUCAACCCUGGACAGGCGGUGGAAACUACCAAGCUGGAGUACGGUAGGGGCAGAGGGAAUUUCCGGUGGAGCGAUGAAAUGCGUUGAGAUCGGAAAGAACACCAACAGCGAAAGCACUCUGUUGGGCCGACACUGACACUGAGAGACGAAAGUUAGGGGAGCAAAUGGGAUUAGAUACCCCAGUAGUCCCUGUCUCUUAUAC
RNAcentral lists this ribosomal RNA (301 nucleotides) under uncultured bacterium. RNAcentral's name for it is "partial 16S ribosomal RNA". It matches the Rfam family "Bacterial small subunit ribosomal RNA", at positions 509 to 807 of the family's 1533-position model. The record is from RNAcentral.